UCAAGUCGGAUGUGAAAUCCCCGGGCUCAACCUGGGAACUGCAUUCGAAACUGGCAGGCUUGAGUCUUGUAGAGGGGGGUAGAAUUCCAGGUGUAGCGGUGAAAUGCGUAGAGAUCUGGAGGAAUACCGGUGGCGAAGGCGGCCCCCUGGACAAAGACUGACGCUCAGGUGCGAAAGCGUGGGGAGCAAACAGGAUUAGAUACCCUGGUAGUCCACGCCGUAAACGAUGUCUACUUGGAGGUUGUGCCCUUGAGGCGUGGCUUCCGGAGCUAACGCGUUAAGUAGACCGCCUGGGGAGUACGGCCGCAAGGUUAAAACUCAAAUGAAUUGACGGGGGCCCGCACAAGCGGUGGAGCAUGUGGUUUAAUUCGAUGCAACGCGAAGAACCUUAC
This 392-nucleotide ribosomal RNA is filed under the name Salmonella enterica. RNAcentral's name for it is "partial 16S ribosomal RNA". It matches the Rfam family "Bacterial small subunit ribosomal RNA", at positions 583 to 974 of the family's 1533-position model. Lineage: Bacteria; Pseudomonadati; Pseudomonadota; Gammaproteobacteria; Enterobacterales; Enterobacteriaceae. RNAcentral also lists the same sequence under 3 other names. The record is from RNAcentral.